UGGGUGUAUCACGCAUUCAUCCAAUGACGUCAUGCAUACAGUGAGGGGUGAUUAGCGCCUGGGUACCAUUUAGGUAUCAACGCUAAGUGGCGUGGGCUGAUGGCGGAUUAAUUCAGAAAAAAACAGGUAAAAAAAAUAUGUAAAUAGUCUCUAAUUAGUUUUCUGUUAGUCAGUUUAGAAUUCUGACAAGGGAACAAUGUAAUAUACGACUAUUUAGGAAAAGUCAUGGAAGGAGGGUUUAGCUUUAAAAAUGACAGUUUUAUUUUAAUUACAAACUCAAACGCAAAUUGGCGUAGGCAUUUGGCGGUUCUAGAGUUAAACCAAAAUAGAGCAGAUUUUCCGUAUUCAGAUCCACAUCCUGUGUCUGAGUUGGCAGACAGGCACAUUUUUUGUCCAUAGAUAAAACAAGAAAGCAGAAAACAAAAUUAAAUAAAAGAUUUCAACCCCCUAUAGUUUGUCAGUUACAGUUUGCUAUGCGGGGCUCCUACCAGUUACAAUGUUUCCGAUUAACACAAGACAGACAUCCAAAACAUUAAGGAAGUACAGGUUUUACCCUUACAGUAUAGGGGAAGAUAAAGAUUUACAGUAUGUAAUGUAAUACAAUAGAUAUUUCUUUCACUCUCAUUGUCUUUCGCUCUCUCUCUCUCAUUCACUCUCAUUGUCUUUCGCUCUCUCUCUCUCAUUCACUCUCUCUCCUCUUUCCUGACCCGCGGUUCCAGGUUUGAGAUACUUAAGAGUGCUCCAAUUUGCAUAAUCACAAUCAAACGACCAGUGUGUCUUUAUCAGAGUAUGUGAGCGGAGGGGAUCAGGUAGCGGAGGGUGGGGAUGGGGGGUAGUGCAGGGUGGCGGUGGGGGGUAGGUGGUAGCGGAGGCGGUCAGAUGUGGGUGGAGAAGUCGGAGGUGGGAGGGGGCAUGAGCGUGGCAUGGUAUUGGACCAGGCCAGAAGGCUGUCACUCAAUAUUGCUCCAGUAGCCUAUCUUUGGGCUGAUAUCGCAUUUAUUUGUAUUUCUAGAGAACUUCCAAUCAGCAGCAACAAACCGCUUUUCAAAGGCGGAAGAAAAAAGGUGCAAAACUCACAAAAUGAACCGUUUAUCCUGGUAGAGAAAUGGACUUCUCUAAGUGACCUCGUUGAUAAUACUGUAUGCAGAAAUAAUUGGGGAACCUAGGCGCUAUUCUCCCUGCUGUAUUGGUCAUGAAGAACACAAAGUCCAUUGGCUGAGGCGUGGUGGUCUACACUCUGGCGUGGUGGUCUACACUCUGGCGUGGUCGUCUACACUCUGGCGUGGUCGUCUACACUCUGGCGUGGUCGUCUACACUCUGGCGUGG
This is a long non-coding RNA of Esox lucius (northern pike), 1326 nucleotides long. The record is from Ensembl. Lineage: Eukaryota; Metazoa; Chordata; Actinopteri; Esociformes; Esocidae.